UGACCUUUCAACUCUUGCUCGGUGAAAGAGAAAACCACGAGAAGCUCCAGCAAGAAAAAAAAACCCAGAUUUAGAUCGAACUAUAGAACACAGUUGCUCUCCCCACACCGACCAGCUAUGGUGGAUCUAACCAACGACGAUCCUUGUUCGAUUGAGCAGCAGCAACAUCCGGGAGCUCUUCAACCCAAAAUUUAUCCUCUUCAUCCCAACGAUGAUCCUUUGCCAGUAGGUAUUAUUAUUAUGCCUCACUAAGUAAAUACUUAGCGUGUGUUGGUUUAACGCGUAUGUAUUAAUACAAGCGGAGUAAGGAGUGCAGCUGACAUCAUCAAUCCAAGGUUGCCUCAUCAGUAACUGUAUGACAAAUAUAUCUACUUUUGAUAUUAUUAGAUGACAUGUAAUAGACUUAUGGAAAUGCUUUGGAAUAUAUUUGACUUUUGAUUAUUGUAAUAUUUAAUAUGUUAUAAUUUUAAGACUA
Long non-coding RNA from Hibiscus syriacus, 475 nucleotides. RefSeq lists it as uncharacterized. The transcript is spliced from 2 exons. NCBI's taxonomy places the organism in Eukaryota, Viridiplantae, Streptophyta, Magnoliopsida, Malvales, Malvaceae. The record is from RefSeq and is a predicted model, not a curated record.